RNAcentral lists this ribosomal RNA (494 nucleotides) under uncultured bacterium. RNAcentral's name for it is "partial 16S ribosomal RNA". It matches the Rfam family "Bacterial small subunit ribosomal RNA", at positions 28 to 507 of the family's 1533-position model. The record is from RNAcentral.
GACGAACGCUGGCGGCGUGCUUAACACAUGCAAGUCGAACGGAAAGGCCUGCUUUCCCUUGUGGAUUGCGGGUACUCGAGUGGCGAACGGGUGAGUAACACGUGAGUGAUCUGCCCCCAACUUGGGUAUAAGCCUGGGAAACUGGGUCUAAUUCCCGAUAGGACUGCAGGGUGGUGCCUGUGGUGGAAAACGAUUUUCUAGUGGUUGGGGAUGAGCUCGCGGCCUAUCAGCUUGUUGGUGGGGUAAUGGCCUACCAAGGCGGCGACGGGUAGCCGGCCUGAGAGGGUGGACGGCCACAUUGGGACUGAGAUACGGCCCAGACGCCUACGGGAGGCAGCAGUGGGGAAUAAUGGACAAUGGGCGGAAGCCUGAUGCAGCGACGCCGCGUGGGGGAUGACGGCCUUCGGGUUGUAAACUCCUUUCGACCGCGAGGAAGCCACCUGGUUGGAAGGGUGGUGACGGUAGUGGUAGAAGAAGCACCGGCUAACUACGUG